CGGAGGGUGCGAGCGUUGUCCGGAAUCAUUGGGCGUAAAGGGCGCGUAGGUGGCCCGGUAAGCGUGCGGUGAAAGCUUGGGGCUCAACCCCGAGUCGGCCGUGCGAACUGCUGGGCUUGAGCACUGUAGAGGCAGGCGGAAUUCCGGGUGUAGCGGUGGAAUGCGUAGAGAUCCGGAAGAACACCGGUGGCGAAGGCGGCCUGCUGGGCAGUAGCUGACACUGAGGCGCGACAGCGUGGGGAGCAAACAGGAUUAGAUACCCUGGUAGUCCACGCCGUAAACGAUGGGCACUAGGCGCUUGGGGGAGCGACCCCCCGAGGGCCGGCGCUAACGCAUUAAGUGCCCCGCCUGGGGAGUACGGCCGCAAGGCUG
This 372-nucleotide ribosomal RNA is filed under the name uncultured organism. Its description in RNAcentral is "bacterial SSU rRNA". It matches the Rfam family "Bacterial small subunit ribosomal RNA", at positions 526 to 896 of the family's 1533-position model. The record is from RNAcentral.